RNAcentral lists this transfer RNA (74 nucleotides) under Lachnospiraceae bacterium. Its description in RNAcentral is "tRNA-Arg". It matches the Rfam family "tRNA". From Rfam's summary of the family: Transfer RNA (tRNA) molecules are approximately 80 nucleotides in length. Their secondary structure includes four short double-helical elements and three loops (D, anti-codon, and T loops). Lineage: Bacteria; Bacillati; Bacillota; Clostridia; Lachnospirales; Lachnospiraceae. The record is from RNAcentral.
GUUUCCGUAGCUCAGCAGGAUAGAGCGUCCGCCUCCUAAGCGGAAGAUCGUGCGUUCGAAUCGCAUCGGAAACG